RNAcentral lists this ribosomal RNA (253 nucleotides) under uncultured bacterium. Its description in RNAcentral is "partial 16S ribosomal RNA". It matches the Rfam family "Bacterial small subunit ribosomal RNA", at positions 524 to 776 of the family's 1533-position model. The record is from RNAcentral.
GACGAACCGUGCGAACGUUGUUCGGAAUCACUGGGCUUAAAGGGCGCGUAGGCGGCUUGCCAAGUCAGUGGUGAAAUCCUGCAGCUUAACUGUAGAAGUGCCGGUGAUACUGGCGAGCUCGAGGGAGGUAGGGGUCUGUGGAACUUCUGGUGGAGCGGUGAAAUGCGUUGAUAUCAGAAGGAACGCCGGUGGCGAAAGCGACGGACUGGAUCUCUUCUGACGCUGAGGCGCGAAAGCUAGGGGAGCAAACGGG